UAAAACCCAUUUCUUAAUAAUAGAUCUAUAAAAUGUGAUUUGGAGAGGGAAGCUUUCUCACCCAUUUUUCUUACAGAUAACAGAUAAAUAAAGGGGAAAACAAGAAGAUGAAAAAAAAAGCUUAAAUCAGUGGCUUUUGGAGCAGGUGAAAUAGUGGACGAUGGCGCCACCGAUGGUCGACUGUCGGUAAUUGAUUCCAAUUCAUGUUAAGAGAAAAGAUUAGGUGAAGAAGAUAAGUGGUUAAGAGUGAUGAUGAAGUUUAAAGAGAGGCACG
Molecule: long non-coding RNA, 274 nt
Filed under: Gossypium barbadense (sea-island cotton)
Lineage: Eukaryota; Viridiplantae; Streptophyta; Magnoliopsida; Malvales; Malvaceae
Description: long non-coding RNA (GBAR_LNC008891)
Source: RNAcentral